This 253-nucleotide ribosomal RNA is filed under the name uncultured bacterium. RNAcentral describes it as "partial 16S ribosomal RNA". It matches the Rfam family "Bacterial small subunit ribosomal RNA", at positions 524 to 776 of the family's 1533-position model. The record is from RNAcentral.
UACAGAGGUCUCAAGCGUUGUUCGGAUUCAUUGGGCGUAAAGGGCGCGUAGGCUGCGGGGCAAGUCGGGUGUGAAAUCUCAGAGCUCAACUCUGAAACUGCACUCGAUACUGCUUUGCUUGAGGACUGGAGAGGAGAUUGGAAUUCACGGUGUAGCAGUGAAAUGCGUAGAUAUCGUGAGGAAGACCAGUGGCGAAGGCGGCGCUCUGGACCGAGACUGACGCUGAGGCGCGAAAGCGUGGGGAGCAAACAGG